AUUCCCGUUUAUCCUGCGGGAGGUCGCUGCUAUCGGAGUUCGACUAAGCCAUGCAAGUCUAGCCUCGCAAGAGACUGGCGUAAGGCUCAGUAACACGUCGACAAUCUACCUUAUGGUUGGGGAUAACCUCGGGAAACUGAGGAUAAGCCCCGAUAGGGAAGUUUCGCUGGAAUGCAUUCUUCCUUAAAGGCAACGCCAUAAGAUGAGUCGGCGGCUGAUUAGGCUGUUGGUGAGGUAACGGCUCACCAAACCCGAGAUCAGUAUGGGGGAUGAGAGUCCUAGCCCAGAGAAGGACACUGAGAUAAGGGUCCU
This 312-nucleotide ribosomal RNA is filed under the name Nanobdellota archaeon. RNAcentral describes it as "bacterial SSU rRNA". It matches the Rfam family "Archaeal small subunit ribosomal RNA", at positions 1 to 318 of the family's 1478-position model. Lineage: Archaea; Nanobdellati; Nanobdellota. The record is from RNAcentral.